RNAcentral lists this ribosomal RNA (259 nucleotides) under uncultured bacterium. RNAcentral's name for it is "partial 16S ribosomal RNA". It matches the Rfam family "Bacterial small subunit ribosomal RNA", at positions 524 to 776 of the family's 1533-position model. The record is from RNAcentral.
UACGUAGGGUGCAAGCGUUAAUCGGAAUUACUGGGCGUAAAGCGUGCGCAGGCGGUUUUGUAAGUCUGUCGUGAAAUCCCCCGGGCUCAACCUGGGGAAUUGCGAUGGAGACUGCAAGGCUAGAAUCUGGCAGAGGGGGGGUAGAAUUCCACGUGUAGCAGUGAAAUGCGUAGAGAUGUGGAGGAACACCGAUGGCGAAGGCAGCCCCCCUGGGUCAAGAUUGACGCUCAUGCACGAAAAGCGUGGGGGAGCAAACAGG